CUGACAGAUUGCCAGUUCUCCUUGGUGUCUCUCCCAGAUUCCUAACCCCUUCCCUAAGGGCACUCUCUGCUCAGGGGAGUGAGGAUCAGUCUUUGUUAGCUCAGUCCUCAAGAGGGACACUCAGGUGCAUGACCCUCCGGCAUCUCUGCCCCACAGCCCUCAUAGCUUCCAAAUAUCCACUGCAGCUUCUAGAGGCUGCCUUUGUAAGGGCAGACAGGUAGAAGGAAGGCUUCUGGGUUGCCAGGUCACUCUGCAGGAGACCAGUGGCAUUUCUAUCAGAAAUCUAGCAUGUUCUCUCCCAUUCAGGUAUCACAUCUCAGGUACACACCCCCCCACACAAGUAAACUCAGAGGAGUCUGCCUUACCCACUGGAGAUUCCUGGGCCCUUCUCACUAACUAAGCCCUUCUCUACCUGGGGCCUCCUGGGCCACUGUGUCCCCAAUCCCAGGGCAGAGACACCAGGAAGGCUGUUUGGGGGCCCAGGGACAGCUGCUGCUCUUUGUCAGGCAUCAACUCCCUCGACCCCUACAAGUCUCAGCCUCUGUCUGGGGCAUCCCUUAGAACCUCAGUCUCCAGUUUGGGGUGGGGCUACCAGGAGGGACUCGGGGGACAGAGGCAGAAAAACGGAGUUACUGAGAGGUCUCGAGCAAUUCAGAAAUGGCAGAAAGACAGGAAGAACGCGGAGGCUGGGAGCAGAGGGGCUCUAAGACCCCUCACCUCCCCCUGCUCCACCACGCUGCCAAGGAAGUUUUACAGGUGUGACGCGAGACUCUGAGGGGUGAAGCGACACGCCCUGAGCCACAUCGUCCGGGAUUCCACCCGGCACCAUCUCAAGCUGGAGCCCUCGCUCUGGAAAAGGAAGGGAAGAGGGGGCUUUCUCUAGGAUUCUGG
RNAcentral lists this long non-coding RNA (891 nucleotides) under Marmota monax (woodchuck). The record is from RNAcentral. Lineage: Eukaryota; Metazoa; Chordata; Mammalia; Rodentia; Sciuridae.